UACGAAGGGGGCUAGCGUUGCUCGGAAUCACUGGGCGUAAAGGGUGCGUAGGUGGCGCUGUAAGUCGGGUGUGAAAUUUCGGAGCUUAACUCCGAAACUGCAUUCGGUACUGCGGUGCUUGAGGACUGGAGAGGAGACUGGAAUUCAUGGUGUAGCAGUGAAAUGCGUAGAGAUCAUGAGGAAGACCAGUGGCGAAGGCGGGUCUCUGGACAGUUCCUGACACUGAGGCACGAAGGCCAGGGGAGCAAACGGG
Molecule: ribosomal RNA, 253 nt
Filed under: uncultured bacterium
Lineage: Bacteria
Description: partial 16S ribosomal RNA
Rfam family: Bacterial small subunit ribosomal RNA
Source: RNAcentral